Pecten maximus is the source of this 3436-nucleotide long non-coding RNA. RefSeq lists it as uncharacterized. The record is from RefSeq and is a predicted model, not a curated record. Lineage: Eukaryota; Metazoa; Mollusca; Bivalvia; Pectinida; Pectinidae. The transcript has 2 exons.
AAAAGAAUGGAAAAGAAGGAAUUAAUUAAUAAAUACAAUAUGUAAUCAAAAUAAUAAAUUAUUUUGAGAAUUAUUAUUUCAGAGCAGUUACAAUUACUCUUCACCAACAAAGUUUGGUAGUCGUCUUGACUCGCGGGAACCAACAGCUUUAUCUGAGGAGCCGGAUGACUACUUGGACAAGCUGGGAAUUACUGGGGAGGAUGGAGAGGAGGAGGAAGAAGCUGGUGCUGAGGCGUGGGAAAAAGAGGCGGAAAAACUGUAUGAAUGGACACAAGAGUUAUCCUUCAACGAUGAGCUCAUUGGUACACCCUAUUUACCGGUGACAACGUAGCACGAUCUUGUUCGUGGACCACAGGUGUAGAUCUGAUGAGGAAGGAAAUCAUGGUGUGAUUAUUGAGGUUGAAAUUUUUAUAUAUUUCUGAACCUCAAACAGACGAUACUGCAGAGCAUUUAUUUCUCACAGAGGUGACUUUCUUCUUUGAAAGGAACAUUAAGAAAUGUUAAAAUAUUGUUGUUCUCUAGUAAAAGAUUAGGACAUCAAGGUUUUUAAGGAACAGAAUUAUGACAAUCUAACUCUGGAGAAGGAAACAUUAUUAUGGCUGUGUCACUUUUGAUCCUUAACAACAAAGAAUUGUUGAGUAAGUUAUUUAUGUUUCCAUUAUGUGUGUCACACUCAUGAGUAACAUGUGAGUGUUUGCUUGUCUUAGACACAUUUAUUUGUCCUAUCAUAAUCAUGAAAUCACAGGUUUCAAAGUUGUAUUAUGUUUUAUAUUUAUAGAAGAAGUGCUGUGACAGGAUUAUUUUAAUUGUAUAAGAUAUUUUGAUAUAAUUCACUUUAAGUGCAAUCACCACUUUUCCUAACAUAUAUAAAAGAGCAUCAAUAUCAAGAUUCUGUAUUUUAUCAUCAGUUUCAGCUAGCUAGGUCUCCCCGAUUCCCAUUAUCACCAACUUCUGUCAACAACUAAGAUGUUCAAUCUCCUCCACACCAAAUAGAGUCCUUAUUUUAUUUUGAAAUAGAAGAAAUCUAUCUUCAAAGGCUACAUUGUUCCUAGGACAUGCCUCUCCAAUAACCUAUAAAAUGAAGAUAUUUCUCAACUCUUUUAACUAGAAUUUUAAUUGGCAUGAUCACACCAAUCCAUUUCAUUUCCAAAUUAUUUUGUCACAAUAUACCAAAGUGAAAUGUAUUAAUUAAGACCCUCAGGUCUCUACAGUGAAAUAGGCAGUAAGCCAAGGGAGAUAAUUCUGUUAGAGAGAACUGCUGCAUUAACUGGUCCUGAUGUUAUUUAACAUCCACACCCACACACACCCACACUCAGGCAUACCUAAGAAAACUUACUGAAUACACAAUUAAACACAAAGAAAAUAAGACAUAACACAUAUUGUGUUUUAAUUAUGAACAAUUCCUUCACUGUUGGAAUCAAAAUUGAGUUUCAGUACAAGUGUUUCAUAAAUUUGAACACUGUUGUAAUAUCAUCAUAGCUAUAUGAUGUAAUGUUAAGUUUAUUAAACUGUUUGUAACAUUAAGUGGACCUUUAUUUACUCAGUACAAAGGUAGUAGAUUCAGUGUAAGAUAACAUGCUAUAGAUGCAUACAACAUACUGUACACCCUGGAUAUAUUUAGCUAUUGAAAAAUAAUCACUGAUUAUGAAUCUUCUAUUGUUAUGAAAAGAAAUACCUACAAUUAAGUUACCAGAUGAUUUUUCAUUUGAAACAUAUAGACUUGAGGUACAGGGCAUUUAUAUAUUUAAGUCAUGUUGUGCUAAAUGGGUGAAUUAUAAUUUAUUUUAGCAGAUCGUACAGAUUUAACUUGGCCUUUCUCAGUAUACGCAAGGAUUUAACUGUGACUUUCAAUUUUUUGGCAGUUGAAUAAUGUUUAUCAGUGAUUAUUGAAAGUUGUAUAACUUCACCCUUAAAAUGUAGGAAUACCUCUAUGUCCACUUCAACAAAUAGGAAUACUCCUAUGGACACCGAUAACAAAUAGGAAUACCUCUAUGGGCCCCUAUAUCAAAUAUGAACACCUCUAUGGACCCCUGUAACACAUAGGAAUAACUAUAUGGGCCCCUAUAUCAAAUAGGAAUACUCCUAAGGACACAUAUAACAAAUAGGAAUACCUCUAUGGCCCCUGUAACAAAUAGGAAUAACUCUAUGGGCCCCUGUAACAAAUAGGAAUAACUCUAUGGGCCCCUGUAACAAAUAAAAAUACCUCUAUGGGCCCCUGUCACAAAUAGGAAUAACUCUAUGGGCCCCUGUAACAAAAAGGAAUACCUUUAUGGGCCCCUGUAACAAAUAAGAAUAACUUUAUGGGCCCCUGUAACAAAUAGGAAUACCUCUAUGCUCCAUGUAUCAAAUAAGAAUAACUCUAUGGGCCCCUGUAACAAAUAGGAGUACCUCUAUGGUCCAUGUUUCAAAUAAGAAUAACUCUAUGGGCCCCUGUAACAAAAAGGAAUACCUUUAUGGGCCCCUGUAACAAAUAAGAAUAACUUUAUGGGCCCCUGUAACAAAUAGGAAUACCUCUAUGCUCCAUGUAUCAAAUAAGAAUAACUCUAUGGGCCCCUGUAACAAAUAGGAGUACCUCUAUGGUCCAUGUUUCAAAUAAGAAUAACUCUAUGGGCCCCUGUAACAAAUAGAAAUACCUCUAUGGGCCCCUGUAACAAAUAGGAAAACCUCCGUGGGCCCCUGUAACAAAUAAGAAUAACUCUAUGGGCCCCUGUAACAAAUAGGAAUACCUCUAUGGUCCAUGUUUCAAAUAAGAAUAACUCUAUGGGCUCCAGUAACAAAUAGGAAUACCUCUAUGGGCCCCUGUAACAAAUAGGAAUACCUCUAUGGUCCAUGUAUCAAAUAGGAAUACCUCUAUGGUCCUUGUAUCAAAUAAGAAUACCUAUAUGGGCCCCUGUAACAAAUAGCAACAACUCUAUGGGAUACUUUAACAAGGAGGAAUACCUCAGUGGGGUGUUUUAUCAAAAAGCUUGAUCAUUCACCCUAUCUCUUUAUCACACUUCAUCGCAAAUGUCAGUUGGACGGUUUGAUAAUGUGGUAUAUAUUAUACCUCUUAUUUGAUACUCUCCAGGAAAUAUCUAAAAUAUAUUUAGUAAAGAUAACAACUUAUCAUAUGAUAUGACUAACUGUACAUUCCUUUGAGACCUAUCCCUCAAACAAUAUCAGACUCUGGUCUUGUGUAUAUCACAUCCGUUAGUCCUUAACAUAAUGACUAGGUAAUAGUUAAAAACACACGGUCUAUAUGUAUAUAUAUAAUGUAAUCAUCUAUGUCCAUAGGUGUCCUCAUAUCUACGUAUAUUGUUCCAAAAUCUGUGCCAGCCAGAUUGGCAUGUGAUGGGGUUGGUAAGUGUAUGUUAUGAGGAUAGCCAUUUGUUAGUCUCUUAUAUUCUUGUUAAUGUUGAAUUGUAAAAUAAUAACUGAUAAAAUACUUAUCUAUAUU